GCCCUUGUGGUGUUAUGGUUAGCACACUUGGCGUGCAUUCUAGAGGUCCAAGUUCGAGUCCUGGAGAGGGCA
This 72-nucleotide transfer RNA is filed under the name Stegodyphus mimosarum. It matches the Rfam family "tRNA". Rfam says of the family: Transfer RNA (tRNA) molecules are approximately 80 nucleotides in length. Their secondary structure includes four short double-helical elements and three loops (D, anti-codon, and T loops). The record is from Rfam by way of RNAcentral. Lineage: Eukaryota; Metazoa; Arthropoda; Arachnida; Araneae; Eresidae.